ACGGAAGCUUCAACUAAGUACAUGAAACCAAAUGGAAGGGCAAAGAGUAAAACCAACAAAAUGGUGUAAACAUGAGCAUCUCAUUUGUAACUUUCAACCAAUCUUUUCAAGAAAGCAAAAUCACCUGAUGCUUCUUCCAUUCAAGGAAAAGAAAUGAAAAUAAAAAUGAAAUGCACCGUGAAUCACGACUGCUGUAGUUGUUUCCUUUUCAAAAAUUAAAAGUGUGCCAAUUUGUAUUCAUCCACCAUCCCACAAUUCCAGUAAAAGCUCCAUCUAAAAAAAAGUUUAAAGACCAAGGCCUCCGCUCAAAAUUUGAAUAUGCCGAGAGAAAGCUCU
Molecule: long non-coding RNA, 336 nt
Filed under: Vigna radiata
Lineage: Eukaryota; Viridiplantae; Streptophyta; Magnoliopsida; Fabales; Fabaceae
Description: long non-coding RNA (VRAD_LNC009918)
Source: RNAcentral